This 1244-nucleotide ribosomal RNA is filed under the name metagenome. Its description in RNAcentral is "bacterial LSU rRNA". It matches the Rfam family "Bacterial large subunit ribosomal RNA", at positions 1702 to 2925 of the family's 2925-position model. The record is from RNAcentral.
UUGUGAAGGAACUAGGCAAAAUGGCACCGUAACUUCGGGAGAAGGUGCGCCCUUUGGUGUGGUCACGUGCGUGACUGAGCAUCGAAGGGUCGCAGUAACCUGGCCGCUGCGACUGUUUAUCAAAAACACAGCACUCUGCAAACACGAAAGUGGACGUAUAGGGUGUGACGCCUGCCCGGUGCUGGAAGGUUAAUUGAUGGGGUCAGCCGCAAGGCGAAGCUCUUGAUCGAAGCCCCAGUAAACGGCGGCCGUAACAAUAACGGUCCUAAGGUAGCGAAAUUCCUUGUCGGGUAAGUUCCGACCUGCACGAAUGGCGUAACGACAGCGGCGCUGUCUCCACCCGAGACUCAGUGAAAUUGAAAUCGCUGUGAAGAUGCAGCGUUCCCGCGGCAAGACGGAAAGACCCCGUGAACCUUUACUAUAGCUUUACACUGAACGUUGAGUUCUUCUGUGUAGGAUAGGUGGGAGGCUAUGAAACCAGGACGCUAGUUCUGGUGGAGCCAUCCUUGAAAUACCACCCUGAAGUGCUUGACGUUCUAACCUAGGCCCGUAAUCCGGGUCAGGGACCGUGUAUGGUGGGUAGUUUGACUGGGGCGGUCUCCUCCCAAAGAGUAACGGAGGAGCACGAAGGUACGCUCAGCGCGGUCGGACAUCGCGCACUGUGUGCAAAGGCAUAAGCGUGCUUGACUGCGAGAUCGACGGAUCAAGCAGGUACGAAAGUAGGUCUUAGUGAUCCGGUGGUUCUGUAUGGAAGGGCCAUCGCUCAACGGAUAAAAGGUACUCCGGGGAUAACAGGCUGAUACCGCCCAAGAGUUCAUAUCGACGGCGGUGUUUGGCACCUCGAUGUCGGCUCAUCACAUCCUGGGGCUGUAGCCGGUCCCAAGGGUAUGGCUGUUCGCCAUUUAAAGUGGUACGCGAGCUGGGUUCAGAACGUCGUGAGACAGUUCGGUCCCUAUCUGUCGUGGGCGUUGGAGAUUUGAGGGGGGCUGCUCCUAGUACGAGAGGACCGGAGUGGACGUUCCGCUGGUGUUCGGGUUGUCAUGCCCAUGGCAUUGCCCGGUAGCUACGAACGGAAGUGAUAACCGCUGAAAGCAUCUAAGCGGGAAGCACGCCCCAAGAUGAGAUCUCCCGAGAGCUUGACUCUCCUAAAGGCACCAUCAAGACUAGGUGGUUGAUAGGUCAGGUGUGGAAGCGCAGCAAUGCGUUGAGCUAACUGAUACUAAUGAGCCGUGAGGCUUGACCAA